Molecule: non-coding RNA, 596 nt
Organism: Cherax quadricarinatus
Lineage: Eukaryota; Metazoa; Arthropoda; Malacostraca; Decapoda; Parastacidae
Source: RefSeq, a predicted model, not a curated record
GUUCAGCACGGCAGUUCCUGUUUGCCAAAUGUCCAAUAAAACAAGAGGACCACCAGCUAGAGCCUCUGCACCAUGUGUUGCUAGUAAAGAGGUCAGCAGGUGUCAGCGGAAACCCCUGUCCCGGCUUCUCAGGCUUCAGGUGUCCUCACCAGGACGUGCCAGCGCUGUGCCGAGGAUUCGACAUUGGUUGUCAUGACACAGAUUUUAUCAACGUUCGUAAUUGAACAUAUCAGAGGAAGACAUCCAUUAAGAUAAACACACUUAAUGGUUUGGAAAAGUACAUGACAACAUAAGAAGAAAGUGACAGAUGUGAAGAAGAUGGCAGAUGUGAGGAAGGUGACAGAUGUAAGAAGGUGUCAGAUGUGUAGAAAGUGACAAACAAGCGGAAACUUAGACUUUCAUGUAAUUGAAUUUAUACUUCUGUACAUUACAUAGUUACCAUGAUUAUACAAAGACUGUAAAAACUGUACUGUGAAAUGUGUUGUUGUUUGUGUUACGUGUGUGUGUAUGUGUGCAUGUGCGCCCGCACGUUUGUGUGUGUGGUGUGUGUGUGUGUAGUCACCUAUUUGUGGUUGUAGGGGUCGAGAUUCCUGGCC